CCUACGGGAGGCAGCAGUGAGGAAUAUUGGUCAAUGGACGAGAGUCUGAACCAGCCAAGUAGCGUGAAGGAUGACUGCCCUAUGGGUUGUAAACUUCUUUUAUAUGGGAAUAAAAUGUUCCACGUGUGGGAUUUUGUAUGUACCAUAUGAAUAAGGAUCGGCUAACUCCGUGCCAGCAGCCGCGGUAAUACGGAGGAUCCGAGCGUUAUCCGGAUUUAUUGGGUUUAAAGGGAGCGUAGAUGGGUUGUUAAGUCAGUUGUGAAAGUUUGCGGCUCAACCGUAAAAUUGCAAUUGAUACUGGCAGUCUUGAGUACAGUUGAGGUAGGCGGAAUUCGUGGUGUAGCGGUGAAAUGCUUAGAUAUCACGAAGAACUCCGAUUGCGAAGGCAGUUCACUGGACUGCAACUGACACUGAGGCUCGAAAGUGUGGGUAUCAAACAGGAUUAGAUACCCCUGUAGUC
This 460-nucleotide ribosomal RNA is filed under the name uncultured bacterium. RNAcentral's name for it is "partial 16S ribosomal RNA". It matches the Rfam family "Bacterial small subunit ribosomal RNA", at positions 338 to 795 of the family's 1533-position model. The record is from RNAcentral.